This 851-nucleotide ribosomal RNA is filed under the name Bacillus tequilensis. RNAcentral's name for it is "bacterial SSU rRNA". It matches the Rfam family "Bacterial small subunit ribosomal RNA", at positions 26 to 858 of the family's 1533-position model. The record is from RNAcentral. Lineage: Bacteria; Bacillati; Bacillota; Bacilli; Caryophanales; Bacillaceae.
AGGACGAACGCUGGCGGCGUGCCUAAUACAUGCAAGUCGAGCGGACAGAUGGGAGCUUGCUCCCUGAUGUUAGCGGCGGACGGGUGAGUAACACGUGGGUAACCUGCCUGUAAGACUGGGAUAACUCCGGGAAACCGGGGCUAAUACCGGAUGGUUGUUUGAACCGCAUGGUUCAAACAUAAAAGGUGGCUUCGGCUACCACUUACAGAUGGACCCGCGGCGCAUUAGCUAGUUGGUGAGGUAACGGCUCACCAAGGCAACGAUGCGUAGCCGACCUGAGAGGGUGAUCGGCCACACUGGGACUGAGACACGGCCCAGACUCCUACGGGAGGCAGCAGUAGGGAAUCUUCCGCAAUGGACGAAAGUCUGACGGAGCAACGCCGCGUGAGUGAUGAAGGUUUUCGGAUCGUAAAGCUCUGUUGUUAGGGAAGAACAAGUACCGUUCGAAUAGGGCGGUACCUUGACGGUACCUAACCAGAAAGCCACGGCUAACUACGUGCCAGCAGCCGCGGUAAUACGUAGGUGGCAAGCGUUGUCCGGAAUUAUUGGGCGUAAAGGGCUCGCAGGCGGUUUCUUAAGUCUGAUGUGAAAGCCCCCGGCUCAACCGGGGAGGGUCAUUGGAAACUGGGGAACUUGAGUGCAGAAGAGGAGAGUGGAAUUCCACGUGUAGCGGUGAAAUGCGUAGAGAUGUGGAGGAACACCAGUGGCGAAGGCGACUCUCUGGUCUGUAACUGACGCUGAGGAGCGAAAGCGUGGGGAGCGAACAGGAUUAGAUACCCUGGUAGUCCACGCCGUAAACGAUGAGUGCUAAGUGUUAGGGGGUUUCCGCCCCUUAGUGCUGCAGCUAACGC